AACGAACGCUGGCGGCAUGCCUAACACAUGCAAGUCGAACGAGACCUUCGGGUCUAGUGGCGCACGGGUGCGAACGCGUGGGAACCUGCCCUUAGGUUCGGAAUAACUCCCCGAAAGGGGUGCUAAUACCGGAUAAUGUCUUCGGACCAAAGAUUUAUCGCCUUUGGAUGGGCCCGCGUUGGAUUAGCUAGUUGGUAGGGUAAAAGCCUACCAAGGCGACGAUCCAUAGCUGGUCUGAGAGGAUGAUCAGCCACACUGGGACUGAGACACGGCCCAGACUCCUACGGGAGGCAGCAGUGGGGAAUAUUGGACAAUGGGCGAAAGCCUGAUCCAGCAAUGCCGCGUGAGUGAUGAAGGCCUUAGGGUUGUAAAGCUCUUUUACCCGGGAUGAUAAUGACAGUACCGGGAGAAUAAGCUCCGGCUAACUCCGUG
This 432-nucleotide ribosomal RNA is filed under the name uncultured bacterium. RNAcentral's name for it is "partial 16S ribosomal RNA". It matches the Rfam family "Bacterial small subunit ribosomal RNA", at positions 29 to 507 of the family's 1533-position model. The record is from RNAcentral.